UGGCAACAAUGAUGACAGGUACUGUAACUGUACGUGAUGUUUCGUUACCUCAUGGAGACACCAGUCCCUCUAAACUGACGUUGCCA
Molecule: non-coding RNA, 86 nt
Organism: Colinus virginianus (northern bobwhite)
Lineage: Eukaryota; Metazoa; Chordata; Aves; Galliformes; Odontophoridae
Source: Rfam